Molecule: ribosomal RNA, 1104 nt
Filed under: Virgibacillus halodenitrificans
Lineage: Bacteria; Bacillati; Bacillota; Bacilli; Caryophanales; Bacillaceae
Description: bacterial SSU rRNA
Rfam family: Bacterial small subunit ribosomal RNA
Source: RNAcentral
UGGCCGGGCGGGGUGCCUAUACAUGCAAGUCGAGCGCGGGAAGCAAGCUGAUCCUCUUCGGAGGUGACGCUUGUGGAACGAGCGGCGGACGGGUGAGUAACACGUGGGCAACCUGCCUGUAAGACUGGGAUAACCCCGGGAAACCGGGGCUAAUACCGGAUAAUACUUUUCAUCACCUGAUGGAAAGUUGAAAGGUGGCUUUUAGCUACCACUUACAGAUGGGCCCGCGGCGCAUUAGCUAGUUGGUGAGGUAACGGCUCACCAAGGCAACGAUGCGUAGCCGACCUGAGAGGGUGAUCGGCCACACUGGGACUGAGACACGGCCCAGACUCCUACGGGAGGCAGCAGUAGGGAAUCUUCCGCAAUGGACGAAAGUCUGACGGAGCAACGCCGCGUGAGUGAUGAAGGUUUUCGGAUCGUAAAGCUCUGUUGUUAGGGAAGAACAAGUGCCGUUCGAAUAGGGCGGCACCUUGACGGUACCUAACCAGAAAGCCCCGGCUAACUACGUGCCAGCAGCCGCGGUAAUACGUAGGGGGCAAGCGUUGUCCGGAAUUAUUGGGCGUAAAGCGCGCGCAGGCGGUCCUUUAAGUCUGAUGUGAAAGCCCACGGCUCAACCGUGGAGGGUCAUUGGAAACUGGAGGACUUGAGUACAGAAGAGGAGAGUGGAAUUCCACGUGUAGCGGUGAAAUGCGUAGAGAUGUGGAGGAACACCAGUGGCGAAGGCGACUCUCUGGUCUGUAACUGACGCUGAGGCGCGAAAGCGUGGGGAGCGAACAGGAUUAGAUACCCUGGUAGUCCACGCCGUAAACGAUGAGUGCUAGGUGUUAGGGGUUUCCGCCCCUUAGUGCUGAAGUUAACGCAUUAAGCACUCCGCCUGGGGGAGUACGGCCGCAAGGCUGAAACUCAAAAAGAAUUGACGGGGCCCGCACAAGCGGUGGGAGCAUGGUGGUUUAAUUCGACGCAACGCGGAAGAACCUUACCAGGUCUUGACAUCCUCUGCAAUCGGUAGAGAUACCGAGUGCCUUCGGGACGAGUGACAGUGGUGCAUGCUGUCGUCAGCUCGUGUCGUGAGAUGUGGGUUUAAGUCCCCGCCAACGAGGCGGC